This 253-nucleotide ribosomal RNA is filed under the name uncultured bacterium. RNAcentral describes it as "partial 16S ribosomal RNA". It matches the Rfam family "Bacterial small subunit ribosomal RNA", at positions 524 to 776 of the family's 1533-position model. The record is from RNAcentral.
UACGUAGGGUGCGAGCGUUGUCCGGAAUUAUUGGGCGUAAAGGGCUCGUAGGCGGUUUGUCACGUCGGGAGUGAAAACUCGGGGCUUAACCCCGAGCCUGCUUCCGAUACGGGCUGACUAGAGGUAUGCAGGGGAGAACGGAAUUCCUGGUGUAGCGGUGAAAUGCGCAGAUAUCAGGAGGAACACCGAUGGCGAAGGCAGGUCUCUGGGCAUUAACUGACGCUGAGGAGCGAAAGCAUGGGGAGCGAACAGG